AUUUUUGGCUGUACUUGCUUAAUUAUAAUUGAGUAACUUUUCUUUGGGGCUUCUGCAAAUCUUUUAUCUUCUAUGUAGAAUUUCCAGUGCAGACAAUUCCCAGUUUAUGAUGGUUUCACAGAGGUACAAUUUCCCCAGCUUCACAAUGGUGCAGAACCGAUAUGCACCAGAACGGCAGCCCUGUGGUUCGGAUUCUGGAUGUGCACCUUUUCCCGGGUUAGCGUUACGAGGUCUGAUCGUCUCUGAUGAUGCUGGGAGGCCGCGGCAAACACAGCGUGCAGUCAGCCCCCUGGCGACAAGGGGCAUUUGUCAACGUUCCAUGCUGCACUCUGCUGAAUUAUCUGGCAGAAUGACAGAGGGAGGGCCAGUGAGAUCUUCCAUCUGCUGGUUCACUCCGAGGCCCACAGAGCCUUAGGGGCCAGGUCAAGGCCAUGUGGGCAGCAGUGACCCAUGUACGUCAGGCAUCAUUUGCUGCCUCCCAGCACAGCAGCGGCAAGUUGGGUCAGAAGCAGAGGCAACUGGAGCCUUCUAUUCCUUGUCUGGGCUGAUGUACUCACUGGAGUGAUCAGAUAUAAGGCUCUAUCUUGUGAACGUGAAGUGAUAAGCCAUGGGAUUAACCAGAAUAACUCUAUUGUGUUGAGUCAUAUGUACAAGGGACUACUGUACAGCAGGGAGAAUGAACUGGAACCUCAUGCAAUAGCAUAGAUAAAUCUCACAAAUAUGAGUAUCAGAUGCCAGACACAAGGGAGCAUUAGCCCGGAGCUGGAUGGAAGUGGAGCAGCUGGGAUUUGAACUGACACUCCCAUAUGAGAGGCUAGCACUGUAAGUGGUAGCUUAACCUGCGGCAUACAAGGCCAGCUCCAAUGCAGAGUUUAGCUACUCAAAUGUGACCUGCCAAACCCCAGCACUGCCAUCACCCGGAAGUUCCCUGGAAACGCAGAAUCCAGGGCCCGGCCCAGACUGACUCAAGCAGACGCUGCACUUUAACAAGAUUCCCGGGAGAUCUGUAUGCACACUAAAGGUAAGAGGAGAAACCCUCCCAGCAUAUCUGCCUUAAUAACUUUAUGCUGGGAAAAUUUCGGAACCGCUGUUGGAUCAACUGCCUAGUAUAACUGUAAAGGUUUAAAAAUUCAUAGAGAACUUCCUUUUAGACAUGGUUGUUUCUACUAAAACUUCUAAGAUGCA
Molecule: non-coding RNA, 1185 nt
Organism: Oryctolagus cuniculus (rabbit)
Lineage: Eukaryota; Metazoa; Chordata; Mammalia; Lagomorpha; Leporidae
Source: RefSeq, a predicted model, not a curated record